UUAGAGUUUGAUCCUGGCUCAGGACGAACGCUGGCGGCGUGCUUAACACAUGCAAGUCGAACGAUGAUGCUCACAGCUUGCUGUGGGUGGAUUAGUGGCGAACGGGUGAGUAACACGUGAGUAACCUGCCUUUCACUCUGGGAUAAGCCUUGGAAACGAGGUCUAAUACUGGAUAUGACUCUUGACCGCAUGGUUGGGGGUGGAAAGCCUUUGUGGUGGUGGAUGAUGGACUCGCGGACUAUCAGCUUGUUGGUGGGGUUGUGGCCUACCAAGGCGAUGACGGUUAGCCGGCCUGAGAGGGUGACCGGCCACAUUGGGACUGAGACACGGCCCAGACUCCUACGGGAGGCAGCAGUGGGGAAUAUUGCACAAUGGGCGAAAGCCUGAUGCAGCGACGCCGCGUGGGGGAUGACGGCCUUCGGGUUGUAAACUCCUUUCGCUCGUGACGAAGCCUUUCGGGGUGACGGUAGCGGGAGAAGAAGCACCGGCUAACUACGUGCCAGCAGCCGCGGUAAUACGUAGGGUGCGAGCGUUGUCCGGAAUUAUUGGGCGUAAAGAGCUUGUAGGCGGUUUGUCGCGUCUGCUGUGAAAGCCCGGGGCUUAACUCCGGGUCUGCAGUGGGUACGGGCAGGCUAGAGUGUGGUAGGGGAGACUGGAAUUCCUGGUGUAGCGGUGAAAUGCGCAGAUAUCAGGAGGAACACCGAUGGCGAAGGCAGGUCUCUGGGCCAUUACUGACGCUGAGAAGCGAAGCG
RNAcentral lists this ribosomal RNA (752 nucleotides) under uncultured bacterium. Its description in RNAcentral is "bacterial SSU rRNA". It matches the Rfam family "Bacterial small subunit ribosomal RNA", at positions 1 to 761 of the family's 1533-position model. The record is from RNAcentral.